This 579-nucleotide ribosomal RNA is filed under the name Escherichia coli. Its description in RNAcentral is "partial 23S ribosomal RNA". It matches the Rfam family "Bacterial large subunit ribosomal RNA", at positions 2223 to 2801 of the family's 2925-position model. The record is from RNAcentral. Lineage: Bacteria; Pseudomonadati; Pseudomonadota; Gammaproteobacteria; Enterobacterales; Enterobacteriaceae.
UAACGUUGGCCCCUAAUCGGGGUUGCGGACAGUGUCUGGUGGGUAGUUUGACUGGGGCGGUCUCCUCCUAAAGAGUAACGGAGGAGCACGAAGGUUGGCUAAUCCUGGUCGGACAUCAGGAGGUUAGUGCAAUGGCAUAAGCCAGCUUGACUGCGAGCGUGACGGCGCGAGCAGGUGCGAAAGCAGGUCAUAGUGAUCCGGUGGUUCUGAAUGGAAGGGCCAUCGCUCAACGGAUAAAAGGUACUCCGGGGAUAACAGGCUGAUACCGCCCAAGAGUUCAUAUCGACGGCGGUGUUUGGCACCUCGAUGUCGGCUCAUCACAUCCUGGGGCUGAAGUAGGUCCCAAGGGUAUGGCUGUUCGCCAUUUAAAGUGGUACGCGAGCUGGGUUUAGAACGUCGUGAGACAGUUCGGUCCCUAUCUGCCGUGGGCGCUGGAGAACUGAGGGGGGCUGCUCCUAGUACGAGAGGACCGGAGUGGACGCAUCACUGGUGUUCGGGUUGUCAUGCCAAUGGCACUGCCCGGUAGCUAAAUGCGGAAGAGAUAAGUGCUGAAAGCAUCUAAGCACGAAACUUGCCCCG